UACCAUUUCUUAUAUAUGAAUUUUAAGAAGACCUGUUCUACCCAAAGUCAACUUUAUUGCUCCAAAUGAGUAAGUUUUGGCCUCAGUAAUCAUUUGGUUAUCAUUUCCACCAAAUUUUUCUGUCCUCUCAUCCAUGUUCAGCCCAAUCAUUUGGUCAUCAUUUCCACAAAUUUUUCUGUCAUCUCAUCCCUGUUCAGCCCAUAUUGAGAACAUUAACAAUAUGUUUCCAUGGAUUCUAAUAUCUGAAAAACCUUCAGACUACAUGUCAAGAAACUUCAACAACACAAAAUUGAGAGAAACUUCAA
RNAcentral lists this unclassified non-coding RNA (305 nucleotides) under Hevea brasiliensis (rubber tree). The record is from RNAcentral. Lineage: Eukaryota; Viridiplantae; Streptophyta; Magnoliopsida; Malpighiales; Euphorbiaceae.